GGGGGCGACAGGCUUCGACAGGGGUUAGUACGGUCUUUGAAUGCACGUCGGGCUUGCUUUCGGUAGCUCGUUAAAACACUGGAAGAAAAACAAUUGCCAAUAAACAAGAAUUGGCUCUCGCAGCCUAGUUAAUUCUAGAAACUCGAGCGUCUCACCGUCGGUUUGCUCAAGACGGACGGAGCGAGAUGUCACCCAAAUUGAGCUAGCGCCAGUUCUCCGCCUGCGGCUGGUGCGAAAUUUAAAGUCAGGAUAGCUGUUCGAAAGGUCUUGUCAGUUCACUUACUUUCGAGCGGCGAAAUUUUAAAGAGAAUUGACUAAACGUGUAGAUUUCAAGAGCGACAACCUUUGGAUGCGGGUUCGAUUCCCGCCGCCUCCAUUU
Molecule: transfer-messenger RNA, 379 nt
Filed under: Acidobacteriota bacterium
Lineage: Bacteria; Pseudomonadati; Acidobacteriota
Rfam family: transfer-messenger RNA
About the family: Bacterial tmRNA, also known as 10Sa RNA or SsrA, is named for its dual tRNA and mRNA-like properties. Its role is to liberate the mRNA from a stalled ribosome.
Source: RNAcentral